GCUUACGGCCAUACCACCUUGUCUGCGCCCGAUGUCGUCUGAACUCGGUAGCUAAGCAGGGUUGGGCCUUGUUAGUACUUUGAAGGGAGACCGCCUGGGAAUACCAGG
This 108-nucleotide ribosomal RNA is filed under the name Sinocyclocheilus anshuiensis. Lineage: Eukaryota; Metazoa; Chordata; Actinopteri; Cypriniformes; Cyprinidae. The record is from RNAcentral.